GAUGAACGCUGGCGGCGUGCCUAAUACAUGCAAGUAGAACGCUGAAGGAGGAGCUUGCUCUUCUGGAUGAGUUGCGAACGGGUGAGUAACGCGUAGGUAACCUGCCUGGUAGCGGGGGAUAACUAUUGGAAACGGUAGCUAAUACCGCAUGACAACAGUUGUUGCAUGAUAACCGUUGAAAAGGAGCAACUGCUACACUACCAGAUGGACCUGGGUUGUAUUAGCUAGUUGGUGGGGUAAAGGCUCACCACGGCGACGAUACAUAGCCGACCUGAGAGGGGGAUCGGCCACCCUGGAACUGAGACACGGCCCAGACUCCUACGGGAGGCAGCAGUGGGGAAUAUUGGGCAAUGGACGAAAGUCUGACCGAGCAACGCCGCGUGGGUGAAGAAGGUUUUCGGAUCGUAAAGCUCUUUUGAAGAGAAGAACGAGUGUGAGAGUGGAAAGUUCACACUGUGACGGUAUCUUACCAGAAAGGGACGGCUAACUACGUG
Molecule: ribosomal RNA, 494 nt
Filed under: uncultured bacterium
Lineage: Bacteria
Description: partial 16S ribosomal RNA
Rfam family: Bacterial small subunit ribosomal RNA
Source: RNAcentral